AUUGAACGCUGGCGGCAUGCCUUACACAUGCAAGUCGAACGGUAGCAGGUCUUCGGAUGCUGACGAGUGGCGAACGGGUGAGUAAUACAUCGGAACGUGCCUAGUAGUGGGGGAUAACUACUCGAAAGAGUGGCUAAUACCGCAUGAGAUCUACGGAUGAAAGCAGGGGAUCGCAAGACCUUGUGCUACUAGAGCGGCCGAUGGCAGAUUAGGUAGUUGGUGGGAUAAAAGCUUACCAAGCCGACGAUCUGUAGCUGGUCUGAGAGGACGAUCAGCCACACUGGGACUGAGAAACGAACCAGACUCCGACGGGAGGCAGCAGUUGGGAAUUUUGGACAAUGGGCGAAAGCCUGAUCCAGCAAUGCCGCGUGCAGGAUGAAGGCCUUCGGGUUGUAAACUGCUUUUGUACGGAACGAAAAGCCCCGGGUUAAUACCCUGGGGUCAUGACGGUACCGUAAGAAUAAGCACCGGCUAACUACGUGCCAGCCGCCGCAUAA
Molecule: ribosomal RNA, 497 nt
Filed under: uncultured bacterium
Lineage: Bacteria
Description: partial 16S ribosomal RNA
Rfam family: Bacterial small subunit ribosomal RNA
Source: RNAcentral